GACGAACGCUGGCGGCGUGCUUAACACAUGCAAGUCGAACGGAAAGGCCCUGCUUUUGUGGGGUGCUCGAGUGGCGAACGGGUGAGUAACACGUGAGUAACCUGCCCUUGACUUUGGGAUAACUUCAGGAAACUGGGGCUAAUACCGGAUAGGAGCUCCUGCUGCAUGGUGGGGGUUGGAAAGUUUCGGCGGUUGGGGAUGGACUCGCGGCUUAUCAGCUUGUUGGUGGGGUAGUGGCUUACCAAGGCUUUGACGGGUAGCCGGCCUGAGAGGGUGACCGGAGACAAUGGGACUGCGAUACGGCCCAGACUCCUACGGGCGGCAGCAGUGGGGAAUAUUGCACAAUGGGCGGAAGCCUGAUGCAGCAACGCCGCGUGCGGGAUGACGGCCUUCGGGUUGUAAACCGCUUUCGCCUGUGACGAAGCGUGAGUGACGGUAAUGGGUAAAGAAGCACCGGCUAACCACGUG
RNAcentral lists this ribosomal RNA (468 nucleotides) under uncultured bacterium. RNAcentral describes it as "partial 16S ribosomal RNA". It matches the Rfam family "Bacterial small subunit ribosomal RNA", at positions 28 to 507 of the family's 1533-position model. The record is from RNAcentral.